AGUGAACGCUGGCGGUGGGCCUAACACAUGCAAGUCGAACGGCAGCACAGUAAGAGCUUGCUCUUACGGGUGGCGAGUGGCGGACGGGUGAGGAAUACAUCGGAAUCUACUUUUUCGUGGGGGAUAACGUAGGGAAACUUACGCUAAUACCGCAUACGACCUACGGGUGAAAGCAGGGGAUCUUCGGACCUUGCGCGAUUGAAUGAGCCGAUGUCGGAUUAGCUAGUUGGCGGGGUAAAGGCCCACCAAGGCGACGAUCCGUAGCUGGACUGAGAGGGUGAGCGGCCACACUGGAACUGAGACAGGGUCCAGACUCCGACGGGAGGGAGCAGUAGGGGAUAGUGGACAAUGAGCGUAAGCCUGAGCCAGCCGUACCGCGUGGGUGAAGAAGGUCUUCGGGUUGUAAAGCUCUUUUGUUGGGGAAGACAAGCAGGAGGUUAAGACCCCGCUGUUCUGACGGUACUCAAAGAAUAAGCACCGGCUAACUACGUG
Molecule: ribosomal RNA, 492 nt
Filed under: uncultured bacterium
Lineage: Bacteria
Description: partial 16S ribosomal RNA
Rfam family: Bacterial small subunit ribosomal RNA
Source: RNAcentral